GUGCUUGCUUUGGCAACACAUAAAGUUGGAAUGACAUAGAGAUUAACAUAGCCCCUGCACAAGGAUGAUGCACAAAUUUGUGAAGCAUUCUAUAUUUUA
Small nuclear RNA from Macaca nemestrina (pig-tailed macaque), 99 nucleotides. Lineage: Eukaryota; Metazoa; Chordata; Mammalia; Primates; Cercopithecidae. The record is from Ensembl.